UUUGGUAUGCACUGCCGCCCACAUUUAAAUCCAUCUUUGCACACCUAGGAAAGUUAACUAUAUGUUAAAAACAUCACACGCGGAAAAAAGAUAAAACUUUCUUCAGCAUAACUACAGCCCCAGUGGUUGCAACUAAAAUGCUUUCUCGGACACCUCCAAGGAUUCAUCCCAUCAUUUGGAAAAAUUGUGAAAUUGGCUGCAUGACAUUAAAAUUGAUUUUUCAAUAAAUUACUGAAAAUGUGAGAAAAUAGUAACAAAACCUUCGUUCCCCUUUGUAAAUAUAUCCAGAAAAGUAGAAGAGCCAUUCCAAGUUGCCGUGUACUGGGAGCUCAUGUCAAACGUGUAUUUACGACACUUAUCCAGAGGUUUCCACUCGAUUGAACAUGAAUGCGGAUUAGUUGGCAACAUCAUAGAGAACACGUUGACUUCAUUUCGAUCCUG
Molecule: long non-coding RNA, 441 nt
Organism: Daphnia pulex (common water flea)
Lineage: Eukaryota; Metazoa; Arthropoda; Branchiopoda; Diplostraca; Daphniidae
Exons: 2
Source: RefSeq, a predicted model, not a curated record